Molecule: ribosomal RNA, 434 nt
Filed under: uncultured bacterium
Lineage: Bacteria
Description: bacterial SSU rRNA
Rfam family: Bacterial small subunit ribosomal RNA
Source: RNAcentral
UGAGGAAUAUUGGUCAAUGGGCGGGAGCCUGAACCAGCCAAGCCGCGUGAGGGAGGAAGGCCCUAUGGGUCGUAAACCUCUUUUGUCAGGGAACAAAAGCGAGUAUGUAUACUAGUCUGAGUGUACCUGAAGAAAAAGCAUCGGCUAACUCCGUGCCAGCAGCCGCGGUAAUACGGAGGAUGCGAGCGUUAUCCGGAUUUAUUGGGUUUAAAGGGUGCGUAGGCGGCGGUGCAAGUCAGCGGUAAAAGCCCGGGGCUCAACCCCGGCGAGCCGUUGAAACUGCAGUGCUAGAGAAGGCGAGAGGUAUGCGGAAUGCGCAGUGUAGCGGUGAAAUGCUUAGAUAUUGCGCAGAACUCCGAUUGCGAAGGCAGCGUACUGGCGCCUGACUGACGCUGAGGCACGAAAGCGUGGGGAUCGAACAGGAUUAGAUACCC